Molecule: ribosomal RNA, 357 nt
Filed under: Triticum aestivum (bread wheat)
Lineage: Eukaryota; Viridiplantae; Streptophyta; Magnoliopsida; Poales; Poaceae
Description: partial small subunit ribosomal RNA
Source: RNAcentral
AUGGUGGGGACCGGGGGUGGAGGUGGGAGACGCAGGGCGUUUUUGGAUCGGGGGUCGAGGGGAGAAGCCGUGUGGACCAAGAGGGGGGUUUCGCCACGUGGUAGUUCGGGGGUUAAGGAAUCAUGUCCGAACAAUUUUGUUCGGCUCGAGGGAGUCCCACUCCGAACAGGGUCGUUCGGACCGGCGCCCUGUGGUACCGAACGUGCGCGCGUUAUCGGGUCCUGUUGUAGACGUUUCUUCUUUUUGCACAGCAGAAAAAUUCCUGUUUGUAGUAGAGGUCCAAGCAUUCUUAGGAAAAGAUUGAAAUCGUUCUCUUUCCACACUAUUCUAGAUGACUGUAAAACCAUUAUUACUUAA